Molecule: ribosomal RNA, 1202 nt
Filed under: metagenome
Description: bacterial LSU rRNA
Rfam family: Bacterial large subunit ribosomal RNA
Source: RNAcentral
AGAGGUGCGCCGGUGAGGGGUGAAGCAUUUACUGCGUAAGCCCAUGCCGGUCGAAGAUACCAGGCCGCUGCGACUGUUUAUUAAAAACACAGCACUCUGCAAACACGAAAGUGGACGUAUAGGGUGUGACGCCUGCCCGGUGCCGGAAGGUUAAUUGAUGGGGUUAGCUAACGCGAAGCUCUUGAUCGAAGCCCCGGUAAACGGCGGCCGUAACGAUAACGGUCCUAAGGUAGCGAAAUUCCUUGUCGGGUAAGUUCCGACCUGCACGAAUGGCGUAACGAUGGCGGCGCUGUCUCCACCCGAGACUCAGUGAAAUUGAAAUCGCUGUGAAGAUGCAGUGUAUCCGCGGCUAGACGGAAAGACCCCGUGAACCUUUACUAUAGCUUUGCACUGGACUUUGAAUUUGCUUGUGUAGGAUAGGUGGGAGGCUUUGAAGCGUGGACGCCAGUUCGCGUGGAGCCAACCUUGAAAUACCACCCUGGCAACUUUGAGGUUCUAACUCAGGUCCGUUAUCCGGAUCGAGGACAGUGUAUGGUGGGUAGUUUGACUGGGGCGGUCUCCUCCUAAAGAGUAACGGAGGAGUACGAAGGUGCGCUCAGACCGGUCGGAAAUCGGUCGUAGAGUAUAAAGGCAAAAGCGCGCUUGACUGCGAGACAGGCACGUCGAGCAGGUACGAAAGUAGGUCUUAGUGAUCCGGUGGUUCUGUAUGGAAGGGCCAUCGCUCAACGGAUAAAAGGUACUCCGGGGAUAACAGGCUGAUACCGCCCAAGAGUUCAUAUCGACGGCGGUGUUUGGCACCUCGAUGUCGGCUCAUCACAUCCUGGGGCUGAAGCCGGUCCCAAGGGUAUGGCUGUUCGCCAUUUAAAGUGGUACGCGACCUGGGUCUAGAACGUCGUGAGACAGUUCGGUCCCUAUCUGCCGUGGACGUUUGAGAUUUGAGAGGGGCUGCUCCUAGUACGAGAGGACCGGAGUGGACGAACCUCUGGUGUUCCGGUUGUCACGCCAGUGGCAUUGCCGGGUAGCUAUGUUCGGAAUAGAUAACCGCUGAAAGCAUCUAAGCGGGAAACUAGCCUCAAGAUGAGAUCUCACUGGGACCUUGAGUCCCCUGAAGGGCCGUCGAAGACUACGACGUUGAUAGGUUGGGUGUGUAAGCGCUGUGAGGCGUUGAGCUAACCAAUACUAAUUGCCCGUGAGGCUUGACC